AUACGGAGGAUCCGAGCGUUAUCCGGAUUUAUUGGGUUUAAAGGGUGCGCAGGCGGCCAUUUAAGUCAGCGGUUAAAUCGUGGGGCUCAACCCCAUUCUGCCGUUGAUACUGGGUGGCUUGAUUGCGGUCGAGGUUGGCGGAAUUCGUUGUGUAGCGGUGAAAUGCAUAGAUAUGACGAAGAACUCCGAUUGCGUAGGCAGCUGACCAGAUCGCAAAUGACGCUCAUGCACGAAAGUGCGGGGAUCGAACAGGAUUAGAUACCCUGGUAGUCCGCACAGUAAACGAUGAAUACUUGUUUUCGGCGAUAUAAUGUCGGAGGCAAAGCGAAAGCGAUAAGUAUUCCACCUGGGGAGUACGCCGGCAACGGUGAAACUCAAAUGAAUUGGCGGGG
This 392-nucleotide ribosomal RNA is filed under the name uncultured bacterium. RNAcentral's name for it is "partial 16S ribosomal RNA". It matches the Rfam family "Bacterial small subunit ribosomal RNA", at positions 523 to 918 of the family's 1533-position model. The record is from RNAcentral.